This 871-nucleotide ribosomal RNA is filed under the name Bacillus sp. (in: firmicutes). Its description in RNAcentral is "bacterial SSU rRNA". It matches the Rfam family "Bacterial small subunit ribosomal RNA", at positions 21 to 874 of the family's 1533-position model. The record is from RNAcentral. Lineage: Bacteria; Bacillati; Bacillota; Bacilli; Caryophanales; Bacillaceae.
GGCUCAGGACGAACGCUGGCGGCGUGCCUAAUACAUGCAAGUCGAGCGGACAGAAGGGAGCUUGCUCCCGGAUGUUAGCGGCGGACGGGUGAGUAACACGUGGGUAACCUGCCUGUAAGACUGGGAUAACUCCGGGAAACCGGAGCUAAUACCGGAUAGUUCCUUGAACCGCAUGGUUCAAGGAUGAAAGACGGUUUCGGCUGUCACUUACAGAUGGACCCGCGGCGCAUUAGCUAGUUGGUGGGGUAAUGGCUCACCAAGGCGACGAUGCGUAGCCGACCUGAGAGGGUGAUCGGCCACACUGGGACUGAGACACGGCCCAGACUCCUACGGGAGGCAGCAGUAGGGAAUCUUCCGCAAUGGACGAAAGUCUGACGGAGCAACGCCGCGUGAGUGAUGAAGGUUUUCGGAUCGUAAAGCUCUGUUGUUAGGGAAGAACAAGUGCGAGAGUAACUGCUCGCACCUUGACGGUACCUAACCAGAAAGCCACGGCUAACUACGUGCCAGCAGCCGCGGUAAUACGUAGGUGGCAAGCGUUGUCCGGAAUUAUUGGGCGUAAAGGGCUCGCAGGCGGUUUCUUAAGUCUGAUGUGAAAGCCCCCGGCUCAACCGGGGAGGGUCAUUGGAAACUGGGAAACUUGAGUGCAGAAGAGGAGAGUGGAAUUCCACGUGUAGCGGUGAAAUGCGUAGAGAUGUGGAGGAACACCAGUGGCGAAGGCGACUCUCUGGUCUGUAACUGACGCUGAGGAGCGAAAGCGUGGGGAGCGAACAGGAUUAGAUACCCUGGUAGUCCACGCCGUAAACGAUGAGUGCUAAGUGUUAGGGGGUUUCCGCCCCUUAGUGCUGCAGCUAACGCAUUAAGCAUUCCGCCU